This 304-nucleotide unclassified non-coding RNA is filed under the name plant metagenome. RNAcentral's name for it is "partial contains 5.8S ribosomal RNA, internal transcribed spacer 2, and large subunit ribosomal RNA". The stretch from base 1 to 105 matches the Rfam family "5.8S ribosomal RNA", at positions 50 to 154 of the family's 154-position model. The record is from RNAcentral.
GAAAUGCGAUAAGUAAUGUGAAUUGCAGAAUUCAGUGAAUCAUCGAAUCUUUGAACGCACAUUGCGCCCGCCAGUAUUCUGGCGGGCAUGCCUGUUCGAGCGUCAUUUCAACCAUCAAGCCCCCGGCUUGUGUUGGGGACCUGCGGCUGCCCGCAGGCCCUGAAAAACAGUGGCGGGCUCGCUGUCACACCGAGCGUAGUAGCAUACAUUCUCGCUCAGGGCGUGCUGCGGGUUCCGGCCGUUAAACGACCUUCAUAACCCAAGGUUGACCUCGGAUCAGGCAGGAAGACCCGCUGAACUGAAG